UUUAAUUUUAUGUAUUUGAUUCUUUUUGGUUUCAACAUAAUUAUUAAUUCAAGUAUUAAAAAAACAUAAUUGAGAAGAAAAUAUUGACGUAUUCUUUUUUUGCAUCAAAAGAGUUUUUGGUGGGAAAUAAUGAGGAGGUAAAUUGUGACGCUUUUAUGCAUCAAAAGCGUUUUGGUGGGAAACAUGGGGAGGUAAAUUGUGACGCUUUGUUGCAUCACAACCAAUUUGGUGGGAUUUCGUGCCUAAUGAAGCUCGACAAAACUCCACCAUAAAAUGCGUCCUUAUAUUGAAGGAGUGGCUUAAAAAAGCGUCACAAAAGCCAAAGAUUAUGGCUACUAAAAGCGUCAUUAUAUAGUGGCCCAAAAUAUAAUGACGCUUUACUGAAGCGUCAUUUUAGAAAAUUGUGACGCUUUUUGGUGUCACUUUUUGACUGAAUAAGCGUCACCUAUGAGUCCUAUUUUUUUUGUAGUGUCUUGAUCUACAUUUUACUAUUACCACUUGAAUCAUCAAUAAUCUGCAAAGAAAAUUUAAUGUCAAAUCACUACUACAAAAAUGGGCAAAGAGAUCCUUAAUAAAAGACCCUUUGGAUGACAUAAGGGGUCUCUUUAACAAAAUAGAUCUAAUAUUAGAGAUAAAGGGUCUCUUAUGAUUCCCGUGGUCCACAAAUUACCCAAGGGAGGAUAAGAAAGAGACCCCCUAAGUGAGCUCACAGGUCCGUUAUGUGUACUGGGGUCCACACCUCCACAAAACAUGAUAAGAAAAAUACCUCUUAAAUACCCCACGGGUCUAUUUUAUACACUUGGGGUCCGCAAAACCUAAAAUGAUAUGAUAAAGAAUAGACCCUUAAGUGAGGCCACGGGUCUCUUUUACCCCAAAUUAAAAUGAAGUAAAAUAAAAUUAUACGCACUAUGGAAACGUAUGUAAUACCCAAUUUCCCGUGUGAUGCCCUUGUUCGUUUUUCUUCCUUAGUUCAUUUGUAAAAUCUCUAUUGGAGUCUCAGCCUUUCUCUCUCCUCUAGUUGUCUCUCGAUGAUAUUGUCUCUCGUCGCCGCCCACACCGCCAUAACCUCCCCUCGCCGCCCACACCGCCAUAACCCACACCUCCACCACCCUGGUAAACCACCUCCUACUCCGCCGCUAUACCGAGUUGGUCACUCUUGACUAAUAUCAAAUCAACUGUUAGGGUUUCAUAAUCCGUAGUUGAAAGGAAAACCAAUUCUUUUAACGAGGUUUAGUUUCCAAAAGCUCAAAAGGAAGGAACCUAUAAGAGUACUGUCCCCACCUACAGGGUAACUCAGGUAUCCCGAUCUCAUCUCUUUAAUGUUCUUAUUUGCAUUUUAUUGGGUAGAUAUGUUAAUUAGGGGUCGGGAUUUGGUUUUGUUUGUUUUGAUUUGAUGUGGUCUAUGUAUAUAUACAGGAAAUGAUUGAACUUGAUGCUCUAUUCUAAGGCUAUUUGUCACUGUUUGUUAAAUAAUUUGGAACCUUUGAAUUGAAUUGGGAACUUGUGGUACUGUGUUAAUGUUUAACAUUAAAUUGUUUGAUAUUUUACUUGAAUUCUGUAGAUUUCAAAAUAAUUGUGGUAGGUCUUCGUUUCCUAUAAUUUUCUCUUUUUGAAGAAAUUUGGUUUAAAUGAACUUUUAUAAGUCUUUUACUCUGUUGUUGUUAACUUUUUAUAUAUUUGUACCAAUAUAUUCAUAUUCAACUGAGAAGUUUCAAGGUCUUCACAUUCGUAAUUUGAUGGUUUCAAUAAUUUAUUUGAGCUGUAUGACUGUGAGUUUGAGUGUGUUCUCAUUCGUAGUUUGAUGGUUUCAAUGAUUUAAUUGAUUUAUUUGAGCUAUAGCUCAAUGAUUUAUUUGAGCUAUAUGAGUGAGUUUGAGCUAUACAAAAUGAUAUAUGCACCGCUUGCUAAUGUUUUUAAGACUUGUUUUAGAAUAAGUUUGUCUAUUUUGUUUAUUGUAUACUAUUUUGGAUCUCAUGAGCACAGUGAGGAUACAUAUAAGUUGUACUUGUAGCUUAGGAUACACAUGAUCUCUUAAGACUCUUAACGGGUGGAUUAACUUUGUAUUGUUUUACUGCAUUUGGCUAUUGAGAUAAAAUGCUUCAUGCUUUGUCAGUAUUUGAAGAGGCUUAUGCUGCCAAUAAUUAACCAAAGAGAAUGAAUUCAUGAGUAAUGAGUGCCAAAAAGCCUUAAAUUCCCUACAUGAACUCCAAAGCGAGCUCAUGCGCAAGUCAAUGCAUGUUGGUUCUUUAGGUAAUGGAUUGUUCAGUAUGCUGUCUAUCUCCUGAAUGCACUUGUUUGCACAUUAAACAACUUUCAUUGUACUGUAGCGUUUGCGGUUGGGACAAGUAAAAGAAAAGACCAAAUGGCUCUCCUCCUUGAGUGGCUUAAAGCGACAAUUAAAGAUUGCAUAUGAAUUUGGCUUUACCAGAGAGGCGACUACGAUGAAUAGGAUAUGGAGAUAUUUGUACGAGAAUUGCAAGAAUAGUUAUGUACUGGUACCACGAGUUAUGAAGGACAUGGUCAGUAGUGGAAUUGGGAUGCAGAGGACUUAUGACUCACCUUCGCACAUUAUCAUUGUUCCAGAGAUGGAAGGAAGCAUCAUGGUGUCUCUAGCGGAUAGAAAUUCAACCAGGUUUAAGUCAAACUUGAAUUCAUUUCCCACUACAUGACAUAAGUAUGGUAGGCCUGGUAUUGGUGAUGCUCAUUCUUCAAGAUCUAUUCCUCUAAUUGAAAGACAUCCUAUUACAGUUUCUCAGUAUUUCGAACAACUUUUAGAUUUACAAAUGUAAAUUUUUAAGUUUGAAGAUCUGUCCAGUCAUGGAUUAUUUGUUUUUGUAGAGGUUUUUAUUAUUGCACAAGUUGUAGAAGAUUUUGAUGUAAUAUUUAUUUAUUUAUUAAUAAAAAUAUUGUCAUUUUUGUUUUUAUGGAGCUACAGAGGUAUAGCGUAUUAUUUUAUUUUUUUUAAAUAAAAAUAUUG
This is a long non-coding RNA of Spinacia oleracea (spinach), 2977 nucleotides long. RefSeq lists it as uncharacterized. Lineage: Eukaryota; Viridiplantae; Streptophyta; Magnoliopsida; Caryophyllales; Amaranthaceae. The transcript has 3 exons. The record is from RefSeq and is a predicted model, not a curated record.